CGCACCUUGCGCUCCUUGGUAUUCCGAGGAGCAUGCCCGUUUGAGUGUCUUGAAACCGUCGGCCCCCGGAUUUGCGUCCGGCGGGCCGGACUUGGGGGCUGCUGCCGCGAGGCGGCUCCCCUUAAAUGCAUCGGUCGUGGCCCGUCGGCCUGCGUCCCUGGCGUUGUAUCACCCUCGCCUCUGCGGACUCGGCCCUGAGCCCGACCCCGACCGCUUCUGGAGCGGCGGUCAACACCCUUUCGAGUUCUGACCUCAAAUCGGGUAGGACUACCCGCUGAACUUAA
Molecule: unclassified non-coding RNA, 284 nt
Filed under: Ceratobasidiaceae sp.
Lineage: Eukaryota; Fungi; Basidiomycota; Agaricomycetes; Cantharellales; Ceratobasidiaceae
Description: partial contains 5.8S ribosomal RNA, internal transcribed spacer 2, and large subunit ribosomal RNA
Source: RNAcentral